UGCCCUGUCGUCUAAUGGUAGGACACUAGACUCUGGAUCUAGGUAUUGUGGUUCGAGUCCACACGGGGCAGCCA
RNAcentral lists this transfer RNA (74 nucleotides) under Pseudomonadota bacterium. Its description in RNAcentral is "tRNA-Gln". It matches the Rfam family "tRNA". Rfam says of the family: Transfer RNA (tRNA) molecules are approximately 80 nucleotides in length. Their secondary structure includes four short double-helical elements and three loops (D, anti-codon, and T loops). The record is from RNAcentral. RNAcentral also lists the same sequence under 1 other name. Lineage: Bacteria; Pseudomonadati; Pseudomonadota.